UCCGACUCAGAGAGUUUGAUCAUGGCUCAGGACGAACGCUGGCGGCGUGCCUAACACAUGCAAGUCGAACAGGUCCAUGAGAGCUUGCUCUCAGAAGACCUAGUGGCGAACGGGUGAGUAACACGUGAGAAACCUGCCUCGGAGUGGGGAAUAACUCGGGGAAACUCGAGCUAAUACCGCAUAUCUUCACAUGAUCGCAUGGUCGAGUGAAGAAAGAAUUUCGCUCUGAGAGGGUCUCGCGGCCUAUCAGCUUGUUGUGGGGUAACGGCCCACCAAGGCAACGACGGGUAGCUGGUUUGAGAGAACGAUCAGCCACACUGGGACUGAGACACGGCCCAGACUCCUACGGGAGGCAGCAGUGGGGAAUCUUGCGCAAUGGGCGAAAGCCUGACGCAGCAACGCCGCGUGCGGGAUGACGGCCUUCGUGGUUGUAAACCGCUUUCAGCAGGGACGAAAAUGACGGUACCUGCAGAAGAAGCCCCGGCUAACUACGUG
Molecule: ribosomal RNA, 495 nt
Filed under: uncultured bacterium
Lineage: Bacteria
Description: bacterial SSU rRNA
Rfam family: Bacterial small subunit ribosomal RNA
Source: RNAcentral